UAACGCGAAGAACCUUACCAGGUCUUGACAUACUAUGCAAAUCUAAGAGAUUAGACGUUCCCUUCGGGGACAUGGAUACAGGUGGUGCAUGGUUGUCGUCAGCUCGUGUCGUGCGAUGUUGGGUUAAGUCCCGCAACGAGCGCAACCCUUAUUAUCAGUUGCCAGCAUUAAGUUGGGCACUCUGGUGAGACUGCCGGUGACAAACCGGAGGAAGGUGGGGAUGACGUCAAAUCAUCAUGCCCCUUAUGACCUGGGCUACACACGUGCUACAAUGGAUGGUACAACGAGUUGCGAACUCGCGAGAGUAAGCUAAUCUCUUAAAGCCAUUCUCAGUUCGGAUUGUAGGCUGCAACUCGCCUACAUGAAGUCGGAAUCGCUAGUAAUCGCGGAUCAGC
RNAcentral lists this ribosomal RNA (395 nucleotides) under uncultured bacterium. RNAcentral describes it as "bacterial SSU rRNA". It matches the Rfam family "Bacterial small subunit ribosomal RNA", at positions 957 to 1353 of the family's 1533-position model. The record is from RNAcentral.